This 76-nucleotide transfer RNA is filed under the name Candidatus Pacearchaeota archaeon. RNAcentral's name for it is "tRNA-Thr". It matches the Rfam family "tRNA". Rfam says of the family: Transfer RNA (tRNA) molecules are approximately 80 nucleotides in length. The record is from RNAcentral. Lineage: Archaea; Nanobdellati.
GCCCUCGUAGCUCAGUUGAUAGAGCGUCACUCUUGUAAAGUGAAUGUCGUCGGUUUGAGUCCGACCAGCGGCUCCA